GUGGGCAGGGGAACCAUCGGAGGGGAGGAUGGUGUGCGAAAAAUGUGAAAAGAAACUUGGUACUGUUACCACUCCAGAUACAUGGAAAGAUGGUGCUAGGAAUAUCACAGAAAGUGGUGGGAGAAAGCUGAAUGAAAAUAAAGCUUUGACUUCAAAAAAAGCAGGAUUUGAUCCAUAUGGAAAGAAUAAGUUCUCCACUUGCAGAAUUUGUAAAAGUUCUGUGCACCAACCAGGUUCUCAUCACUGCCAGGGCUGUGCUUACAAAAAAGGCAUCUGUGCGACGUGUGGAAAAAAGGUUCUGGAUACCAAAAACUACAGACAAACAUCUGUCUGGAUGUAUUGAUGGGAUUCCUGGCUUUCUAAAUGAUUUUACUUUCUGCCUUGAAUUUUCAAGGCAUAGAUGUCAAUUUACAGAAUAACCUGUUUUAAGACAAUACAGUUUAAACCAGAGAAUUUGAUUGUUACUCAUUUUGCUCUCAUGUUCUAAACAGCAACAGUGUAACUAGUCUUUUGCUGUAAAUGGUUAUUUUCUUUACAAUCAUUUUAUUGAACUAAGUGGCAAAUUCCAUGAAAUUAUUUCUCAGUUCUGUAUGCACUUUUAUUUAAUAUUAUUCGUAUAAUUCUCCCCCCCCACUUUAUUUAUAGAUACUGCAAAAGUGAGAAGGAGAUAAUAGAUACUUUGCUCUGAAUUUGGCAUCCCGAGUUAACAGUUCUCCCCUCACUUCUUUACUGGUGUCACAGUUAUUAAAAUCAACAGCCUUUUAACUAAUUGCAGUUUCAUAGGAUAUAUAAAUGUUUCAAGCCAUUAUUGCUGAAUGGUUCUUGAGUUAUUAACCUAGACCCAAAUCAAAGACCAGUUGGAUUUAUGAUGUUUUUUAUUUGUUCCUGCAGCCAAAGUGCCAGUUCCGUUAAUAUGUGACCAAGAACACAAGGAACAUCCAUAUGUCCAAAUAAAUACACUGAAUUUUAG
Molecule: RNA transcript, 970 nt
Organism: Mandrillus leucophaeus (drill)
Lineage: Eukaryota; Metazoa; Chordata; Mammalia; Primates; Cercopithecidae
Gene name: cysteine-rich PDZ-binding protein pseudogene
Exons: 1
Source: RefSeq, a predicted model, not a curated record